CUUGAUAAAGUCAUAGUGACAUUACUAUGUAGUUAUAGUGGGGCAAAAAUUAGAAGGAAUCUAUUAGAAAGUUCUCCUGUUUGCUAGAUUACCAAAUCUAAAAAGAAAAUACCAUUGCUUUUACCUCCUAUGUGCCACACUACCUGAGGGAGGAUUUGAUAUGAUCUACAGUGGAAGAUACAAGAUUGAAACUCUAGAGUAUUUAAGCAAGCUGAAGAAACCGCAUUGAAGCUUGAUUUGGACAGGCAUUAAUAUGUUGUUACUUAUGCAGUGAACCACAUCAAGUGCAGUUUCUAUUCAUUAUAAUGUCUAUCAAUAUUGUAUGCUUUGUUUGAGGACUCAGGCUGUGUUACAAAGCUGUUUGUACCAUAACAUUGUUCAUUUCCCUGCCUUUGUAUUGUUAAUAACAGCAGCUAGAUAAAUGCGUGGCCUAGCAAAAUGCCACAUGUUGAAGUUAUCAUUUCUUUGAACCUUAAAGUUCACCUGUUAAGGCAACAUGGAGCAGUUGUAAGUUACUAAUGAAGAGAAUAUGGAUGCACUAAUAUAGGUGAGUGAGUAAUGGGGAUACUUUGUCA
This is a long non-coding RNA of Quercus lobata, 575 nucleotides long. RefSeq lists it as uncharacterized. NCBI's taxonomy places the organism in Eukaryota, Viridiplantae, Streptophyta, Magnoliopsida, Fagales, Fagaceae. The transcript is spliced from 3 exons. The record is from RefSeq and is a predicted model, not a curated record.